This 1679-nucleotide ribosomal RNA is filed under the name metagenome. RNAcentral describes it as "bacterial LSU rRNA". It matches the Rfam family "Bacterial large subunit ribosomal RNA", at positions 532 to 2190 of the family's 2925-position model. The record is from RNAcentral.
ACCGGAGUUAAAAGACCCUGAAACCAUAUACCUACACAGCGGUUGGAGCGGCGCAAGCCGUGACAGCGUGCCUGUUGAAGAAUGAGUCCGCGAGUUGGCGUGUGCGGCGAGGAUAAUUCCCUUAAGGGACGCAUUCGAAGGGAAACCGAGUGCGAAACGCACGCAAAUGAGUCGUACAUGCCAUACCCGAAGCCAAGGCGAUCUAACCAUGGGCAGGAUGAAGUGGGGGUAAAACCUCAUGGAGGUCCGAACGUGUCUGUGUUGAAAAACGGUGCGAUGACCUGUGGUUAGGAGUGAUAGGCUAAUCAAGCAUGGUGAUAUCUGGUUCUCCCCGAAAUAGCCUUAGGGCUAGCGUCGGAAGAAUAGCAAUUGGGGGUAAAGGACUGAUAGGGCUAGGGGUUCUAACGAGCUACCAAACCCUGUCCAACUCUGAAUACCAAUUGCCGAGUCCCGGCAGUCAGACUACGGGGGAUAAGCUCCGUGGUCGAGAGGGAAACAGCCCAGAAUACCGUCUAAGGUCCCAAAUCAUAUCUUAGUUAAUAAGGAAGUGGGAGUGCGAAGACAGCCAGGAUGUUGGCUUAGAAGCAGCCAUCAUUUAAAAAGUGCGUAAUAGCUUACUGGUCGAGCAUUCCUGCGCCGAUAAUUAACGGGAAUAAGGUAUGAACCGAAGACGUAUCAUAUACAGUGAUGUUAUCAUUGUAUUUGGGUAGGGGAGCGCUCCACAGGAGCAAGCGGUUUCGAGAGGAACCGUAUCGGCCUGUGGAGGUGAUUCUGCGGACACGAGUAGCGAUAAAAGGUGUGAGAAGCACCUUCCCCGUAAGCAUAAGGUUUCCUGAGCCAGGUAACUCCGCUCAGGGUUAGUCGGGACCUAAGCCGAGGUCGGAAGACGUAGGCGAUGGAAGACAGGUUAAUAUUCCUGUACCGAUUACAUAUUGUGAGGCAUGACACAGUCGGCCAAGACCGGAGAACCCAUUAGCUGGGUCUUCCAAGAGCAAACGGCGUUGACGGUUGGUGAAAACAGCCCGAGCCCGAAGUUCAAGUGCAAUCCGGUGAUAAACUGGAGAAGCGGUCACAGCCAAACUGGCAAGAAAAGUGCCAAACACGUUAAUGUGUAAUCGCCCGUACCACAAACUGACACAGGUAUGCGAGGCGAGUAGCCUAAGGGGCUCGAGAUAACUCUCGUGAAGGAACUCGGCAAAUUAGCUUCGUAACUUCGGGAGAAGAAGCGCCUAUGUAAGGGUGUCAAAGCCCUGAAAGGCCGCAGAGAAAUGGUCCCUGGAACUGUUUAUUAAAAACACAGGUCUACGCAAAGUCAGAAAGACGACGUAUGUAGACUGACGCCUGCUCUGCGCCGGAAGGUUAAGGGAAGAUGUGAGGGGGUACGCUCCCAGAGCAUUGAACCGAAGCCCCGGUUAACGGCGGCCGUAACAAUGACGGUCCUAAGGUAGCAAAAUUCCUUGUCGGGUAAGUUCCGACCUGCAUGAAUGGCGUAAUAACAGGGGUACUGUCUCCACGAGAGGCUCGGCGAAACUGUAGCAGUGGUGAAGAUGCCACUUACCCGCGACUAGACGGAAAGACCCUGUGGACCUUUACUGUACUCUACUAUUGGGUUUUUGCAUUCACUGCGUAGGAUAGGUGGGAGACUUUGAAGUUCCAAUUUCGGUUGGGACGGAGUCACC